GGAGAGUUUGAUCAUGGCUCAGAUUGAACGCUGGCGGCAGGCCUAACACAUGCAAGUCGAACGGUAACAUUUCUAGCUUGCUAGAAGAUGACGAGUGGCGGACGGGUGAGUAAUGCUUGGGAACUUGCCUUUGCGAGGGGGAUAACAGUUGGAAACGACUGCUAAUACCGCAUAAUGUCUUCGGACCAAACGGGGCUUCGGCUCCGGCGCAAAGAGAGGCCCAAGUGAGAUUAGCUAGUUGGUAAGGUAACGGCUUACCAAGGCGACGAUCUCUAGCUGUUCUGAGAGGAAGAUCAGCCACACUGGGACUGAGACACGGCCCAGACUCCUACGGGAGGCAGCAGUGGGGAAUAUUGCACAAUGGGGGAAACCCUGAUGCAGCCAUGCCGCGUGUGUGAAGAAGGCCUUCGGGUUGUAAAGCACUUUCAGUUGUGAGGAAAAGUUAGUAGUUAAUACCUGCUAGCCGUGACGUUAACAACAGAAGAAGCACCGGCUAACUCCGUGCCAGCAGCCGCGGUAAUACGGAGGGUGCGAGCGUUAAUCGGAAUUACUGGGCGUAAAGCGCACGCAGGCGGUUUGUUAAGCUAGAUGUGAAAGCCCCGGGCUCAACCUGGGAUGGUCAUUUAGAACUGGCAGACUAGAGUCUUGGAGAGGGGAGUGGAAUUCCAGGUGUAGCGGUGAAAUGCGUAGAUAUCUGGAGGAACAUCAGUGGCGAAGGCGACUCCCUGGCCAAAGACUGACGCUCAUGUGCGAAAGUGUGGGUAGCGAACAGGAUUAGAUACCCUGG
Molecule: ribosomal RNA, 787 nt
Filed under: Pseudoalteromonas sp. PRLIST2
Lineage: Bacteria; Pseudomonadati; Pseudomonadota; Gammaproteobacteria; Alteromonadales; Pseudoalteromonadaceae
Description: bacterial SSU rRNA
Rfam family: Bacterial small subunit ribosomal RNA
Source: RNAcentral